CAGCAGCCACGGUAAUACAGAGGGUGCGAGCGUUAAUCGGAUUUACUGGGCGUAAAGCGUGCGUAGGCGGCUUUUUAAGUCGGAUGUGAAAUCCCCGGGCUCAACCUGGGAAUGGCAGUGGAUACUGGCUCGCUAGAGUGUGUCAGAGGAUGGUGGAAUUCCCGGUGUAGCGGUGAAAUGCGUAGAGAUCGGGAGGAACAUCAGUGGCGAAGGCGGCCAUCUGGGACAACACUGACGCUGAGGCACGAAAGCGUGGGGAGCAAACAGGAUUAGAUACCCCGGUAGUCCCUGUCUCUUAUAC
This 301-nucleotide ribosomal RNA is filed under the name uncultured bacterium. RNAcentral describes it as "partial 16S ribosomal RNA". It matches the Rfam family "Bacterial small subunit ribosomal RNA", at positions 509 to 807 of the family's 1533-position model. The record is from RNAcentral.